Acanthosepion pharaonis is the source of this 113-nucleotide non-coding RNA. NCBI's taxonomy places the organism in Eukaryota, Metazoa, Mollusca, Cephalopoda, Sepiida, Sepiidae. The record is from the annotation of a GenBank genome assembly.
UACGGCUAUAUCACGUUGAAUUACCGUUUCUAGUACGAUCACCGGAGUUAAGCAACGUCGAGUCUGGUCAGUACCGAAAUGGGUGACCGGUUGGGAAAUCCAAGUGCUGUAAG